Molecule: ribosomal RNA, 468 nt
Filed under: uncultured bacterium
Lineage: Bacteria
Description: partial 16S ribosomal RNA
Rfam family: Bacterial small subunit ribosomal RNA
Source: RNAcentral
GACGAACGCUGGCGGCGUGCUUAACACAUGCAAGUCGAACGGAAAGGCCCUGCUUUUGUGGGGUGCUCGAGUGGCGAACGGGUGAGUAACACGUGAGUAACCUGCCCUUGACUUUGGGAUAACUUCAGGAAACUGGGGCUCAUACCGGAUAGGAGCUCCUGCUGCAUGGUGGGGGUUGGAAAGUUUCGGCGGUUGGGGAUGGACUCGCGGCUUAUCAGCUUGUUGGUGGGGUAGUGGCUUACCAAGGCUUUGACGGGUAGCCGGCCUGAGAGGGUGACCGGCCACAUGGGGACUGAGGUACGGAGCAGACUCCUACGGGAGGCAGCAGUGGGGAGUAUUGCACAAUGGGCGGGAGCCUGAUGCAGCAACGCCGCGUGCGGGAUGACGGCCUUCUGGUUGUAAACCGCUUUCGCCUGUGACGAAGCGUGAGUGACGGUAAUGGGUAAAGAAGCACCGGCUAACUACGUG